UACAGAGGUGGCAAGCGUUGUUCGGAAUUACUGGGCGUAAAGGGCGCGUAGGCGGCCUUCUAAGUCAGACGUGAAAUCCCCAGGCUUAACUUGGGAACUGCGUCUGAUACUGGGAGGCUUGGAUGCGGGAGAGGGAUGUGGAAUUCCAGGUGUAGCGGUGAAAUGCGUAGAUAUCUGGAGGAACACCGGUGGCGAAGGCGGCAUCCUGGACCGACAUUGACGCUGAGGCGCGAAAGCUAGGGGAGCAAACGGG
RNAcentral lists this ribosomal RNA (253 nucleotides) under uncultured bacterium. RNAcentral's name for it is "partial 16S ribosomal RNA". It matches the Rfam family "Bacterial small subunit ribosomal RNA", at positions 524 to 776 of the family's 1533-position model. The record is from RNAcentral.